AGAACGAACGCUGGCGGCAUGCCUAACACAUGCAAGUCGAACGAGACCUUCGGGUCUAGUGGCGCACGGGUGCGUAACGCGUGGGAAUCUGCCCUUAGGUUCGGAAUAACUCAGAGAAAUUUGAGCUAAUACCGGAUGAUGACGUAAGUCCAAAGAUUUAUCGCCUAGGGAUGAGCCCGCGUAAGAUUAGGUAGUUGGUGGGGUAAAGGCCUACCAAGCCGACGAUCUUUAGCUGGUCUGAGAGGAUGAUCAGCCACACUGGGACUGAGACACGGCCCAGACUCCUACGGGAGGCAGCAGUGGGGAAUAUUGGACAAUGGGCGAAAGCCUGAUCCAGCAAUGCCGCGUGAGUGAUGAAAGCCUUAGGGUUGUAAAGCUCUUUUACCCGGGAUGAUAAUGACAGUACCGGGAGAAUAAGCCCCGGCUAACUCCGUGCCAGCAGCCGC
Molecule: ribosomal RNA, 446 nt
Filed under: uncultured bacterium
Lineage: Bacteria
Description: SSU rRNA
Rfam family: Bacterial small subunit ribosomal RNA
Source: RNAcentral